GAUGAACGCUAGCGGCAGGCUUAACACAUGCAAGUCGAGGGGUAUAGAGAGCUUGCUCUCUAGAGACCGGCGCACGGGUGCGUAACGCGUAUGCAAUCUACCUUUUACAGAGGGAUAGCCCAGAGAAAUUUGGAUUAAUACCUCAUAGCAUUGCAGAAUGGCAUCAUUCAGCAAUUAAAGUCACAACGGUAAAAGAUGAGCAUGCGUCCCAUUAGCUAGUUGGUAAGGUAACGGCUUACCAAGGCAACGAUGGGUAGGGGUCCUGAGAGGGAGAUCCCCCACACUGGUACUGAGACACGGACCAGACUCCUACGGGAGGCAGCAGUGAGGAAUAUUGGUCAAUGGACGCAAGUCUGAACCAGCCAUGCCGCGUGCAGGAUGACGGUCCUAUGGAUUGUAAACUGCUUUUGUACAGGAAGAAACAGUUCUACGUGUAGAACCUUGACGG
This 448-nucleotide ribosomal RNA is filed under the name uncultured bacterium. RNAcentral describes it as "bacterial SSU rRNA". It matches the Rfam family "Bacterial small subunit ribosomal RNA", at positions 28 to 475 of the family's 1533-position model. The record is from RNAcentral.